GAUGAAGAACGUAGCGAAAUGCGAUACUUGGUGUGAAUUGCAGAAUCCCGUGAACCAUCGAGUCUUUGAACGCAAGUUGCGCCCGAAGCCUCGGCUAAGGGCACGUCUGCCUGGACGUCACGCAUCGCGUCUCCCCCAAACCGCCAAGGCGGAGGGGAAGGAAGAUGGCUUCCCGUGCCUCACCCGGCGCGGUUGGCCUAAAUUUGGAGCCCGCGGCACUUAGCUCUCGCGGCGAUAGGUGGUGAACAAGGCCUUGGCCGUGCAAACAACCCGCUGCGAAGCUCUAUGUCACGUGCGCUCGUCGGACCCUUUGAAGUUGCCUUCGGUGACUUAAAACCUUUGCGACCCCAGGUCAGGCGGGGCUACCCGCUGAAUUUAAGCAUAUCAAUAAGCGGAGGA
This 399-nucleotide unclassified non-coding RNA is filed under the name soil metagenome. RNAcentral's name for it is "partial contains 5.8S ribosomal RNA, internal transcribed spacer 2, and large subunit ribosomal RNA". The stretch from base 1 to 120 matches the Rfam family "5.8S ribosomal RNA", at positions 35 to 154 of the family's 154-position model. The record is from RNAcentral.